Molecule: long non-coding RNA, 1509 nt
Organism: Panthera uncia (snow leopard)
Lineage: Eukaryota; Metazoa; Chordata; Mammalia; Carnivora; Felidae
Exons: 3
Source: RefSeq, a predicted model, not a curated record
UUCACAACCAGGGAGAAACGCUGGGAGGAAAUCAUCAGCCUGUAAUUCCCUAAAACACCACAAGGUGGCACUGGAAUCUGUACUAAGGCGCUAAAGCGGCUUAAAUCCGCUGCGCUGUCUGCUGCCUUGCAGGUAAGAGUGAAUAGAGUAUUACACGUAGAUGAAAUCUUUAAAAAGCUUUGCUGCUAGAAUAAAUCAGGAAACUAGUUGUUGGUUUUUUUUUUUUUUUUGAGAUUUCACAGCAUAAAGUAACAGAAGUGCUGUCAGCAAACUUGCUAAUUUACUGUAAAUAUAUGAAAAAGGAUCUAGAAAAGGGCAAACCUAAUGGCUCACGUGGAGACAGCAUGACUGGGGCUGGUGACCUCGGGACAUGGCUGUGAGCCUCUCUCGUAUGGCAGCUUGACUCAUAUUUAUUGUCUCCUCUCCAUUCCUGCUGAUGUCGUUCAGGCCUCUAUUCUAUAAUGACAUCACCCCAACAAACCUCCCACCCUCUCCAGCCUACACUACCCCAUAUUUCCUGAUUACCCCUGGAGAAAAAAGAAGAGACAGAAAGAGGAGAAAUCCUGAAAAGAUACUGAAACUCCUGAAAAUUGAAGUCAAAAUCAUCAUCAUAAGCCAGUAAUCUCAAUUCCUCCCCUUUGCGAAAAUGACGGAGCCUGAUGCCCCUGCCCGCCAGGAGGUGAAGAGUCAAUCAAAGCUCCUGGCAAAAAGACUCCAGUAUGUUAGUGGCCUGUAAAUGGAAACUCUUAAAAGGACAAGUCAUUCCCACUUUUUAAGAUAAGAAAACCAAGUGGAAGGAUGGAAUUAUGUGAAUUGUCCAUGGUCCUACAGCUAGUAAAUGAUGUCGUGGCAAUUUUCAUCAUGGUCUAAAUAACUCAAAGGGCUCAAUCUUUCCACUUCAUCCAUCUGCCAUCUGUCUACAAUUCUUUAUGGCUCAUAAAGAAUAUGAUCGAAUAUGAUUGAAAUAUGUUUGCUUAAGAAGAAAAGAACUAUAAAUGGAAGUAGCCAUUAUUAAAUACUUAAAAUAUUUUUUUUCUUAUCCAAUAUGUAUUUUUAUAUUAGGUAUUAUUGCUCUUUGGUUUAAGUAGGGAAGCUAUAAGCAGAGAAAAGGAGAAAAAAUUGAAAAUGAAUAAUGGAAAAAAAAACAAAUGUAGAUGAAAGGUAGAGAAAUGCCAAAGACACUAGAUAACUAAAGGUAGAAAUUGUAAAAGAGAAAAUAAAGUGUCCAAUAUGAAAUAAACAAAAGAAGUAGGUCAGGAAGAAAAAUAUCCUGGAUAUUAGCCUUGUCCGGAAUUCUACUCCUAUAGACUUCAAGAUUUAAAAAACCAUCAGAUGUCUUCCCACAAUGAUAAAUAAUGGCUUUAAAACAUGACAACAAGAAAAAGAUUGGUAAUAAUAAACAUGAGAUUUUCCAAACAUAGUUUUCUAAGAGCAUUAUUCUGUAAGUGGCAGCUCACAGACUCAGAUGUUCCACAUACCUCUUCUAGGCAUUCCAGAGUGCAGUGACCC